RNAcentral lists this ribosomal RNA (468 nucleotides) under uncultured bacterium. RNAcentral's name for it is "partial 16S ribosomal RNA". It matches the Rfam family "Bacterial small subunit ribosomal RNA", at positions 28 to 507 of the family's 1533-position model. The record is from RNAcentral.
GACGAACGCUGGCGGCGUGCUUAACACAUGCAAGUCGAACGGAAAGGCCCUGCUUUUGUGGGGUGCUCGAGUGGCGAACGGGUGAGUAACACGUGAGUAACCUGCCCUUGACUUUGGGAUAACUUCAGGAAACUGGGGCUAAUACCGGAUAGGAGCUCCUGCUGCAUGGUGGGGGUUGGAAAGUUUCGGCGGUUGGGGACGGACUCGCGGCUUAUCAGCUUGUUGGUGGGGUAGUGGCUUACCAAGGCUUUGACGGGUGGCCGGCCUGGGUGGGUGACCGGCCACAUUGGGCCUGGGAUACGGCCCGGACUCCUCCGGGAGGCAGCAGUGGGGAAUAUUGCCCAAUGGGCGGAAGCCGGAUGCAGCAACGCGGCGUGCGGGAUGACGGCCUUCGGGUUGUAAACCGCUUUCGCCUGUGACGAAGCGUGAGUGACGGUAAUGGGUAAAGAAGCACCGGCUAACUACGUG